UACGGAGGGUGCAAGCGUUAUCCGGAUUUAUUGGGUUUAAAGGGUCCGUAGGCGGAUCCGUAAGUCAGUGGUGAAAUCUCAUAGCUUAACUAUGAAACUGCCAUUGAUACUGCGGGUCUUGAGUAAAGUAGAAGUGGCUGGAAUAAGUAGUGUAGCGGUGAAAUGCAUAGAUAUUACUUAGAACACCAAUUGCGAAGGCAGGUCACUAUGUUUUAACUGACGCUGAUGGACGAAAGCGUGGGGAGCGAACAGG
This 253-nucleotide ribosomal RNA is filed under the name uncultured bacterium. RNAcentral describes it as "partial 16S ribosomal RNA". It matches the Rfam family "Bacterial small subunit ribosomal RNA", at positions 524 to 776 of the family's 1533-position model. The record is from RNAcentral.